Apis cerana (Asiatic honeybee) is the source of this 5698-nucleotide long non-coding RNA. RefSeq lists it as uncharacterized. The record is from RefSeq and is a predicted model, not a curated record. Lineage: Eukaryota; Metazoa; Arthropoda; Insecta; Hymenoptera; Apidae.
ACGAUCCUUUCGUCUUUCUAAUUUUUUACAUGCGCACGCGCACGCGCGUGCGCAUACGAUCUCUGUAAAGAAAGAAGAACGUGUGACGGUUAAAUGCUUUGCGAUCAUUCGAGUUAUUUAACUGUGGCGCGACAGAUGCGUGCAAAGAAUAGAAGAAGCAGGGUAUCAAAUAGUGACUUUAAAGUGUGAUGAGUGACAAAAUUGAUUCGCGACCCAAUGAGGAAGAAUCUAAUGAGAAAUCUCAAGUCAGCGCUUUUUAUGCAUUUGGAAAAGCAAAAGUCAUCAAAUUAUUUUUUUUCUCUCUUUUACUUUUCUCUUUCUGUUCCUUUUUCUGCUUUUUUAUUUCCUGCGUGACGUGUUUCUUUUUCUGUCUCAUUUGCAAUACAGUCGCGUGAAUGACCGAAUGCCAUGCUGACGAAUUUUUCACUAUGGAUGCACGCGAUGUAAUGGGUCAUAUUUAAAUCUCGACCUUCAUAGAAAAUAUAUUUACAAAAUUUAUAUAAACUACUUUAUAAUAAACUUAGAUUCUCUAAAGUUUCAAAAACUUGAUUUUUUUUCUUAUUAUUUUUUUUUAUUAAUAAAGAUUUAAAAUUUAUUGAUAAAAAUAUCAUUACAUUCAUAAACAAUUUUUUAUAUUUUUUCAGAAAUUUCAAGCAAUUCAAGCAAUCAAUUUGAUACUUAUGUAAUUACUUACAUUUUAUUUAAAUAUUCAAAUUAUAAUUUCAUAGCAAUGAUUUUACUUUUUAAAUUUUUGCAAUUCUUUUUUUUUUAAAUCGAAGAAUAAAUAUAUACAUAUAUUUAUCUUAAAGCAUGAUAUCUUAAAGCACACUUUUAUUAAAUUUAUUAAAAGUUAAUUACAAUUCAUCGUUAGAAUUUAAUGGGAUAAUUUGAUAUUAGUAAUAAUUUUUAAAUUAGAAUGCUAAUAAUGAAACAAACAUUAAAAUAUCGAUUGACUGAGUAAUUUUCGAGUAAUUCAUGAAACAAGAUUCAUGUUUGCAAGAAAUCACGAAGAAUUCUCGAUCGCACGUUUGAUUUGUACAUCUGGCAGGCCUUUCUGUCGUUUCGUUUUGUACUCUUCGCCGUGCUAUUUAUUCCUUCCGCUGUCCGGUUAGCUUUUUCUUCCUUAGACCUUGUUUUUGUUCUCUCCAUUAAUUGAAUCGCUCAAUUUUAAGCGCAAUUGGCCUGCAUUUACAAAACGAAUCAUAUUUCAAACAUUUGUAAUAUUUGUUGAUCCAAAAAUUAUUUUCAUUCAUUAUAAUCAGUUUUCUAUAUAUUAUAUAUAAUUAGUUUAUAAAUUCUUUGUUAAUCAAAGUGUUUGAAAAUCGAUUCACUUACAAUUAUAAUCAACUACAUUCAUUAUCUAUUUUAUAAUUUGCAGAUAAAUUGCACAUAUUCCAGUUUCAUGUGAAUAUGUUCAUUUGAAAAUUGUUUCAUUAUAUGUAAUUUAAUGUAUUUGAAAAUAAUUCUAGUUAUAUUUAGUUUGUUUUGUUGCGAAAUAUAAUUAAACAAACACUUAUAUUUUAUCAUUCAAAAGAAAUUCGUGAAACAAUACAAGAGCAAAAUUUUCUUUACUCAUCGAUAUAUAGUGCAUCUUAUCUGAUAUAACAUUUUUGAUUACGAUACAUUAUUUUUACGAAUGUAUUAGAUUCAAAUUUAAUUAAAAUUGCAUUUCUUCCAGAGAAUUUUUUGUCAAUCAUAAAUUGUAUAUUCUUAAAAAAAAAAAUGUUCCUUUUUUAAUUCGUAUAUAAUAUAAAUUACUAUUCAUGAAGAAGUAUAUAUGAAGUUGCAUGAAUUUUAAAAUAAAAUAAUUCGGUAAUAAUUUUUAAAUCAAUCAACUAGUACAAGCAUUCCGGAAAACCAUAGUAUUGUAUUCACUGAAAGGGAUAAUAGAAAUAACUAUUAAUAGACAUACGUAUAAUUUGUGUAUACGAAGAUGUAUUUACGAUUUAACAGAAAUACCAUUCGUCGUUAACAAGAAUGAAGUCGGAAAUAAUUUCGAUUAAUUUCUACUAUUGCUUAUUUUCACUCAAGAAUAUUCCACAUAAAGUUUUACAUUUAUAUCAUAAUGAAAUAGCAUCCUCAAAAAAAGGAUAGGAUAGCUCGAAAAAAAUUCUAAACUUUUUUCUCGCGCCGCAUUCUCCAAAUCUUAUCGUUUAUAAUGAUCGGCCGACCGCUGGAAAUAGUUCCACGAUGUAGCAUGGCAUUCGUUCUGUUCUCCCCUACUUUAUCCUUUUUCUUCUUCUACCCUAUAGCAAGCUCUAAAGCGAAUUCCGUGGACAUACGUUAGUGUCUGCCGAGUAUUCCAGAACAGAGUGUCGGCGCCUAGAAGCCACAGCAUUUAUCCAUUGGGUCCUACAAACAUGUCUCCGGGUGCGUGCAUUAUAUGAAAGGUGCGAUAUACAUAGCACGUACGACAAGUGGUAGGGGUAGUGCAGUGGCCCGUGCCGCCUGAAAUACACGGACAACCGACUCUCUGGCACUCGACUCCAUUCUGAGUGUGGUAGCACACCGAAGAACUCUCCCUCAACACCCGCGCCCCCUUCCUCUUCCUGUUUCGGCCGUUUGCUCUUCAAACGCAUCUUGCUGCUCGUGACUCCUUUACUCUUCCUCCUUCCUUCUCUUCUUUCCUUCUCAUUUCUAUCUCUUCCUAUCUUCAAGUGCUCUUUACACUCUUUAAGAACAUUCGUGGUUUUCUCUGGUUCAACCCACCAUUCCGAUACACCAUCGUUUUCUAUCACGUUUUCCUUCGUUCCACGGAACGAAACGGUAAAUUACGCGAACGAAAUUAUCUUUGUUUUUUGUCGUUUUUUCGCGAUCGUUUCGUUUCCCCCAGUUUUUUCUACCGCUCUUCUCUUCCACUCUUAAAAACAUUACGCGGUGUACAUUUUUGUCGAGAGAGACACCCAACGUAAGUUUUCGGCGAAACAUAAGAGACCCUUGACGAAUGGUUUCAACGCUUUCUUACCGCGUCGUCGUAUUUUUUACGAGACUGUUUCUGCAUCGUCGAGUUACGUGGUUCCAUUUGGCACGCAUUAUUCGCAUGUAUGAUAUUACAUGGCCUAUACAUUUGGUUCAUCUUAUUAUCGGAAUAAAUAUAAAUUCUUAAUAAAUGAAAUAUAUUUAACAUCUAUUUCGAAAUAUAUUUAUUUUUUUCAAAAUCUUUUUACGUUGCAGUGUUAUGAAAAUCAAUAAUGUAUUUCAAAUGUAAUAUAUUUAUUAAUAUAAUAGAAUUUUUUUAAAAAAAAGCUUAAAUAGCGAAUUGAUUAAAAUUUCUUGAUCUUGAAAUUUUUAUAUAUUAAUUUUUUAAUUAUAUAGAAAAGUGUGUUAUCAAAAAUUGAAAGUAUAGCAUCGAUUUAGUAAACUUUAUCUCGAGUCGAGUUAAAAAGUAUAUUUUAUAUGGUUUGAAGAUUUUUAUGUGCUACCUAAAAAUAAAUAUAAAAAUAUUGUGCACUCGUGUUCAUAUUGUGAAAGCAGAAGCUAUCUUUCUUUUCAUACCACCCUUUCGAUGAUCACGAUGACGAGAACGACGAUAGCUUAGUUUCAAGAAACUCUUUUUUUUCUCCACUAAAAAUAUUUUCAGUGCAAAGUUUUCAAGGAAGUCGGAGAAAAAGUAAAAAUAAAUUUAAAACUUCUCGUUCUUCGAACGAGGACGAAAACGACGGCGUCGAUAUAUGCGACGAGCACUAGAUAUUAUAUCGUAUGUAACGUGGCGAAGAUGUGUGUGUAUAAAUAUAUGGAAUCGAUGUGAUUCAUGGGUGGUAAUAUAAUGCGUGGGCGCAAUGGGUAAGGUGGUUCGUUUAUAUUUCAAAUGAAUAGCAAAUAUUUAGUUAAUAAAUAAAUAAAAUAGAAUAAAAUAGAUUUUUCUAUAAUUUUGCUUGGUAUCUGUAUUUAUUUGUUUAACGUUAUAUAUAUAUAUAUAAAAUUCACAGAAUUAAAUUCAGAAAUUUUAAAAAAUUUCUCAAUAAUUUUAUAAACAUAUCAAAUAUAAUAUUUAGAUUCGUAAAGUUAAGAAGAAUUCAUUUCUCUGAACUUAGAAACGUUCGCUGGAAUUGAGAUAUCCGAAUACGAGAAAUUCUGAAAGCAUGCAAAGAGCAGAAUACUGUAGUUGCGCGCGCAUCGAUUCUCUGCAGAUAUGUUUCGCUCGAUUUCUCUUCGCGACUAUGUAGUAGUGAGUGAACGUGUAUAUACGAUACCAUAAGAUAUCGCAUCCUCAGAAUGCUUAAUUUCGUUAGAACCAUUAUUGAAAAUCGACAUGAUACGUUACUUCAUGAGAAAUAUAACAAUAACAGGAUCACGUUCGAUUUAUGUGACAAUACUUGGAAAAUUACAAUCGAAAAUUCUAUCGUAUUUGAUCUAUUAAAAGAAAAAAGUAAGAAGAUAACUUAAAUUGUGAAUGCGUUAUCGAGAAACAAAAAACAAUUAAUACAGAUAGUAGAGAAAAAGAUGGCAAAAUUGAAAUAGAAAAAUCUGUAGAAGGAAAUUGAACUGAGAUGGAAAUAAAUAUAUGGGGGAAAAAGGAUGGAGACUCGAAGAAAAAUUGACAGCCUCGGGAUCGGAGAGGGGAAGGUGAAAGGACAAAACGAGUUAGUGUGAUCGGUGAACAGAUAAGUAGUACAGAUCUUGUGGUUGUGACGACAAAUAUGGUCAUAAUUACACGUGUAAGGAAGUGUAACAACGAACCUGUUCUUUCUUUUCUGUCUAGAGAAGUUUUAGCCAUUUUCGGACAACUGUAUUGCGUCUCGCCAAACUGAUAAUCAGUAAUAGUCAAUAAUGAUGGCUGAUAAUAGUACUAGGAAACUAACCUUCUGUUGAUUUAUCACAUUAUUCAAUCUCUAAUAGGUUUCUGGCGCCAGCAGUCACGCAAAAUUCAAUUAUAAUUCAUUAUAUAUAUAAAUUUAUAAAUUAUAUCUUGAUUUACUAACGAUCAAAUCGAAAAUAUUCUAGUGUGACCUACUUUCGUCUAAAAUCUCUUACAAAUUCAAUUGCAUGAUAGAGUGAGGGAGAAGUGAUUAUAAAAAUAAAUACAAAAUCUAAUGCCAGCCACACCCACUAUCAUGCAAAUUGACAAUCAACCAUCCCACGCUCGUGCAUCGAAUCAGAUCGGUCUGAAUACGAGCGAAAACUUGCAUAGUCAGUGCUAACGAGCAUGCAAAAGUGCAUUUUAAUAUAAGUGUUGAACGCUGAAGUGGCAAGAGAACGACAGCAUCGACAAACGCUUAUCGUACAAUUUGAUUCGAUUUUUAUUAUAUGUAUGCAAACAUAAAUAUACGUAUGUAUGUAUGCAUAUGAUGAAGCAAGCAAUAUUCUGGGUAUCUACCAGCGGCAGACACCACGUAAUGCUUGGCGUAGUUGGUGAAUGGCCCCUUGAUCCAGAUUUUUGUAGGGUGAUUUUUGCACACUCAGGGCCACCUAAAUAUAGCACUCGGCACUCGACAUUGCAGUUGCCGUCUCGAUAGUGUACAGCCAAAAGAGCGAGGAGGGAGGAGACAGUCCUCACGUUAGGCGUUUCCUUCGUCUUUUUCAUUUUUCCUUCAAUCAAAUUACUUCUUAUUCUUCUUUCAAUUCCUGUUCUAAUUUUUUAUACUUUUUAUCUCGUUUAAUUUUCUGAUUUUUACUUUCUAUUAAUAAAAUUGUCUGUAUUUUUAUAUAUCUCUUUAUAUUUGUUAAAAUAAAAUAAUGCUUGAUAUGUUAUAUCAUA